GAGAUCGCUAGUGACCUUUUGGCAACACGUAAAAAUGCCUGUUCUGACUUGUAAUCUUAACUUUAUCAUUACUGAAAUGUUUGAAAAAUAUACAUAAGUGUUUUUUUUUAAAUACCGUUCAAUAAGACCCUCGACCUUUUGCUUGACCUAUUUGGGAAGGAACUGACUUGACUCUGGAUUUCACUCUGCAAAUCCGUCUUUUAUGGCCCAGCAGGUUGCCGUAGUUCUUCCACUAUAUCUUUAGCCACUCCUCUUGACUCACUGGAUUAUUCUUUUUUCCGCAAUGAAGACCCUGAAUGAAGGUCUUUUUCUUCCUGUUUGGAAACCACCAUGAUUUUCCACCAUCAGAUUCUAACUAUGUGCUUCGUGAACUCAAGACAGACACAAGAAAUGGAGCUGCGCUUCACAUGGGUGGUGGCUUAAAGUGCCCCUAUUAUGCUGUUUUGUAUAUUACCUUUCAUAUAGUGUGUAAUAUAGAUGUAAAAGGUCUGCAAAGUUUCAAAUAUUGAAGUUAAUGUCUACCAAAAGAAAGAUAUAGAUAUAGAUAUAGCAAUAGGCAUUUCGUUCUGACAUGUGCUGUAAAUGGUAGACCAAUCGCAACAAACCGGGCCAUUUGACCAAUCAGAGCAGAGCAGACCAAUCCUUUUAAAAUAGCAUAAUGGGGGCACUUUAACACAGUACAACCCUGAACAGAGGUCAAAGGUCGACUCUGCAGCAAGCUGGACUAAAACAUGACAAACCAUAUGGAACGAGUCAGCUGACUGCAAUAUUUACAUCUGCUACAUGUCACAUACUGUAUCUGACUCAACUGAGGUUGUUGAUCUCCACCUUCUCUUUGGGCUAGGAUAACCAGAUCCGAUGUUGACCAUCUGAACAAGAUCACAUGACCAUCACCCAUGACAUAAUUCAUUCAGAUUUUUUAAUGAGCCAUAAACUGUACAAUUGUUUCACUCACAUCAAUAAUCCAAUGUCAAUUUACUUAUUUGCUUAUAUUGAAAGCUGUCAUAACAGAGAUAAUUAUCAGAAAAUAGACCUUUAGACUGAUACCACUGUUUCAUGGUUUGUUUGGGUUUUUUUUUUCUUCCCAUAAUUGUUCAUGAAAAAGUAAAAGUUUUGGGGUAAGCAAGUGUUUUUUUUGUUGUUUUUUUUUG
Molecule: long non-coding RNA, 1151 nt
Organism: Megalobrama amblycephala (Wuchang bream)
Lineage: Eukaryota; Metazoa; Chordata; Actinopteri; Cypriniformes; Xenocyprididae
Exons: 4
Source: RefSeq, a predicted model, not a curated record